This 835-nucleotide long non-coding RNA is filed under the name Sorghum bicolor (sorghum). RNAcentral describes it as "long non-coding RNA (SBIC_LNC000319)". Lineage: Eukaryota; Viridiplantae; Streptophyta; Magnoliopsida; Poales; Poaceae. The record is from RNAcentral.
CCUUUCCUUGCUUGUGGGCCUCCGCCGGUGUCUCAGUCCCUGCACACACUUAGCACGACCAGAUGAGUCGUCAACAUUAGUAUUUUCCAGUGAAGGAUAUCCUUCGACGCUUCAGGCGUCGGAGGUUCCUUGGGUGAAGGAUAACCUUCGACGCUACCAGGGGGAAGGAUGCAGCUGUUCCCCAACAUGAACCAAGAAAUGAAAUCAGGCCUCCCUGCUCCUGCACCUGCCGAAACAAGGGUGUCUUGUUCAUGCGAGGUAGGAUCCCUUGAUUGAUGCCAGAAUUCAAGAACAAAUUCCUUGAUGAAUGGCUCCACCUUGAUGAAACAAGGGUGUCUUGAUGAAUGUGGAGAUGUCUGGGUUUUGGACAUCUGGCGUCGCAACUUACUCGAAAACGAUUGAAUUUUUUACCAUAGCCUACACAUGUGUUAAUAUGAAACCUCGUAAAGUUUCGUGAUUUUUAGACCUCGUAUAGAUUUAAUAUAAUUUUAAAUCAAUUUUCUCAGAAGUGGCUAAUCAUGUCACACGUAAAAGAUGCGCGGAAUUUGAUUCCAGUUUGUGCGCAGGGACUCCACACACAUCAAAUAACAUGAAUAACAUUUUUUGAAAGACUACAGUUUAUUAUAUCAUGCACCUGCAGUUCAAAUUUAUAACAGCGGGAAAAUUACGACGAAUUAAAACAAAUUCAAGAAAUAUAUAUAAAAAAGUGAAAUUUGUGCCAAUUUUUAAAUUUGUGUUUAAAAUAAUGUGAUUUGUGCCCAAAAAAAAUUGGACUCAAAAAUCAAAAAAAAAAUUCUUUGCCGAGGGCUAAGCUUGGCCCUCGGCAAAGGGGGUC